This 253-nucleotide ribosomal RNA is filed under the name uncultured bacterium. RNAcentral describes it as "partial 16S ribosomal RNA". It matches the Rfam family "Bacterial small subunit ribosomal RNA", at positions 524 to 776 of the family's 1533-position model. The record is from RNAcentral.
UACGUAGGGUGCAAGCGUUGUCCGGAAUUAUUGGGCGUAAAGAGCUCGUAGGCGGUUUGUCGCGUCUGCUGUGAAAACUCGGGGCUUAACCCCGAGCCUGCAGUGGAUACGGGCAGACUAGAGGUAGGUAGGGGAGAAUGGAAUUCCCGGUGUAGCGGUGAAAUGCGCAGAUAUCGGGAGGAACACCGGUGGCGAAGGCGGUUCUCUGGGCUUUACCUGACGCUGAGGAGCGAAAGCGUGGGGAGCGAACAGG